Long non-coding RNA from Hippopotamus amphibius kiboko, 1129 nucleotides. RefSeq lists it as uncharacterized. The transcript is spliced from 3 exons. The record is from RefSeq and is a predicted model, not a curated record. NCBI's taxonomy places the organism in Eukaryota, Metazoa, Chordata, Mammalia, Artiodactyla, Hippopotamidae.
GAAGCAGGGGCGCUUGCUUUGAGGGAACAAGGAAUGAGCCCCUCCCUCAUCCAAAGAGGAGCUGCUGCCUGGGGCUCUCCCCUCCAGAAGAAGGAGGCAGGAAAGAGUUAACAGAGAGACACUCCAACUUCUGGUCUAGGUUCCUCCCACCAGGAGACCAUUACUGAAGCAGCUGGAGACCCAACAGGAACUUACAGAUUCAAGCUUCAAGAGGCCUGCCUGUCUGUCACUGUUCCCCAGCACCCGGCACAUGACAGCAGGGGAACAACAGUGAAUGAAUGAAUGGACAAGUGAGGGGAGGCAGGACACACAUGUUAAUUCCCUGGCUUACAGACAAGGUUCUCCUGCCCGACGUUGUUUGAGCCUCCAAACAGAGCCCAUGCAUCAGGCAUCAUAAGCUUCCUCAUGGAUGUAGGAAUUGAGGCUCUGUGAGUUACCCACUCAGGUCUGUGCACAUUGGACCCCACACUCUUUCCAUCAGUUUGACGAGACAGACAACUGGAGGCCCAGUUCCCUGCUGCUACACACACACAGUUCCUUUUACCAUCACAUCUGCUUGUUCACCCCUUAGCUGUCUGCUCUGUCCUUCCGUCCGACAAUCACCUGCACCUCUGCUUCUUUCCUGGAGACUGAGGGCAAAAAUCUCAACGGUGUUCACUUCCUAAGAAAGCGGGAGAAGUGGAGCCAGGAGGCGGAUGUGACCUGCCCGGCACAGUGAGGCAGGCCAGCUGCUCACACACCCAGCCAGAGUGCUCACUGAAGUAGCAACCUGACAGGCAGCACUUUGAGACAGAACAGGACUGCGAAGGGCGUGGAGCCCACACAUGGAACCAUGAGCUAAACCAUGGCGACACCUGACGCAGAAUGGUCACAGACUUCACAGGCUCACACAACAAGGCUAGGGGCAGUGCUUCUUCCGUUUCCUUUAAUUCUGUUGUCAAAAUGACUUGAUGACAAAAUGAUUUAAAAACAAAAGCGACACAAGGAAGCCAGCUGCCUCUGGCUCACUGUCUAGACUGUACUCACACUCUAAACAGACUCUCCUGACCUUCACUCUGGCUCAGUGGGAAAGAAGGAAGUCAUGGGUGGCCCUCAGGCCUGACACAGCCCAGUCAAUGUUUAAUGACCU